GUGCUCACUUCAGCGGCACAUAUCCUAAAACUGGAACAAUACAGAGAAGAUUAACUUGGCCCCUGUGCAAGGAUGAUACACAAAUCUGUGAAGCGUUCCAUAUUUUU
This 107-nucleotide small nuclear RNA is filed under the name Ovis aries (sheep). Lineage: Eukaryota; Metazoa; Chordata; Mammalia; Artiodactyla; Bovidae. The record is from RNAcentral.